AUGCAUCUCUGACAGACGUGGAGCAGUUAAUAUCGGCUGCUAAGGUUUUCACUACAGAUGCAAGAAAACAAAGGUCCUCGUGCUUUCUGUCUGGUGGUGGCAGCCAAUACUGAAUGGGGGAAUAUAGGA
RNAcentral lists this small nucleolar RNA (129 nucleotides) under Dasypus novemcinctus (nine-banded armadillo). Its description in RNAcentral is "Small nucleolar RNA SNORA31 (ENSDNOG00000037284.1)". Lineage: Eukaryota; Metazoa; Chordata; Mammalia; Cingulata; Dasypodidae. The record is from RNAcentral.